UGCACCGCGAGCCUGUGGCCUGAUUUCUCCCCCUCCAUUGUUGUCGCUAAUACAAAAGGCUACAACUCCAGUGUGGUCACUGGGCCUGCAUUGAAUUACACGCCAGGCCAUUCUUCGGGCCGGAGCCUUUGUAGGCUGGGAUGCGUUUCCUCCCAGGGCCAGAACUCUGGGCCUCGCCAGCCUUUACGAGUUGUCUGCCUCCCUCCGCCACUUCCACCCACCUACCGCCUUUGUUCCUUUCAGCUGGCAGCCAGGCCCUCGCUUGCCUUUUGGUUGGUAUGAGAUCACUGGCGGCGGGCUUGAGCAGUCCUUCCCACCCGCUCCCCUCACUCUCAAUUAAGCACUGCGCGUAAAAUCCCAGGCCUAUUCAGUCAUCUCUUCUUAUCUCUUUCUCAACCAUCCCCCCAACACCCAUCCCUCUCUCUCAAGUUUCUAAGGCUGCCGUUGCUAGGGAACUCAAACCUGAGGGCUGAAGGGAGGUUUUCUAAGGUGUCUGCCAAACUCCCAAAACUCAGAGGGCGGAGGCAGCACAAAGUCUUUGGGAUUCCCCAAACGCUGAAGAGAGUUACAUGUAACUCACCACCCUCUACCCCAUAUCCUUGUGUUCAGCAUCAUGUUUGGAUUCCGGGAAAUUCAGUGGUGAAGUGGGAAAAGAGAUUUCAAAUCACACUAAGAAGCAAUUUCUCCUAAUGUAAAAGCUGGAAGGGGUCUCCUCUCAAAGGAAAAACAUCCCAAGCUUCUGCCCUGGGUGCAAGGCAUGGAGGUACAAUAGAAAGAAGCAGAAGACUUUGGUUUGUAUCCUGGUUCUGGCUGUAACUUGUAGGUCACACCUUAAGGUCAUUUCAUUCCUCUGUUCUUGGGUGUCCUUGCCUGUCGAAUGCUGGGGCUGGACUAAAUAAACUAUGAAAAUCCGAAUUUUACAAACAUAUAUCCACCCAAAGUACUUGAAGAAAAAUGAAGCAUUUUGCACUGAACAGAGCUUGGCAAUUUUCUCCAAAGGCAAUAGAAAUGCAUCUGACUAAAUGGUGAAGGAGAUGAUCAUAAGCUCUUUUCCUAUAAGAAUCCUGGCAAUUUUCACACUCUCGGAGGGACUUUCCCAUCAAUUUUGAUUCCCAUGAUUUCACACUCAUGGAAAUUUCCUCAGAGAAGCAGUUUCUUUGGCAACUUCAUGCUCAUGAUCAUCAUAGCAUCAAUAGGAGUGACGCAGACAUGUCAGCAGGAGAAUAGGCCUCUUCUGAGCAGUGGGAAAAGGCGCUGUCUCCUUUUGUUACCAAAAAAAUAAAUACACAAGACACAAAAGAUUUUUACCACACUUGUCACAUACAGUGAAAUAAGCGGAAGAUAAAGCUAAAAUAAUCUCCAUAAAACAAAGGCUUUGUGUGUGUUUCAAAGACAUUUUAUGUUGCAUAACAUGGAAUUAACUCUAGCUCUUUGAGCAUUACAUAUAUAUAUGAGCAUUACAUAUAUAUAUAUAAUGCUCAUAUAUGAGCAUUAUAUAUAUAUAUGUGUGUGCGUGUGUGUAUAAUGCUCAAAGAGCUGGAGCUAAUAUAUUCUGAAAUGCAAGUAUAUUGAAUUCUUCCUUAUGCUUCCCCUCCCAGGAAAACAGGAUGCCACUUAAAAAAAAAAAAAGACUGAAAAGAAACAUUGUUUGGGGAGAGCUUAUCUAUAAACAAUGAGUUGUCCUCAACAAUAAACAGUUCCACCAAGUGGUACCCGUGGUCACAUUCACUAUGCCUUGGUUUGGUAUAUGUUGUACUAAAAUCUUGACUUAGCUUUGAUUUACUAUUGUCUGUUUAGUUGCAUGUUCUUCUGAUUGUGGUCCGUGGAUCAGCAGCAACAGCAUCAUCUGGGAGUUGGUUGAAACACAGAAUCUCUAGCCCUACCCAGGCCUAUUGCAGCAGAAUCUGCCUUGUAAAAAGACCCCCAAGUGAUUUUUACAUUAUUACCAGAAAUAGACUGCUCUACUCUACAACACCCCCUCUAUCAGAGAUAAUGUUCAAAAGUGGUUUGAUUAUUUUGAAAUGGCAUUUUCCUUUCUGGGGAAAAAACUAUAGAAAUCAUUGGCUACAUCGGUCAAAAAUGGCACUAGUACUCCAGUGACAGAGAACAAUGAAAUGUAGCAUGCUAUCAUUAGUGUAAGAAAAUGCCAACAGACACCUGUGAUCAAUGAGGCUUGCAUUUGUGGUAAUUUUGGGACUCCUCCAUCCACAUUCUCUUGACCCAGGCUUCCUAUGACCAAAUGUUCACUUUUGCAAGAUGGCUGAGGUUAAGAGUGCAAUCUGGCCACAGAAAGGAGAAAAGCUUGCUGACCCAUGCUGACCUCUGACCUUGACCUCAUUAGCUAACCAAAUGAGCUAACCAGCCAUGGACAUCAGAGAGCAUUAUGUGUUGAUUGAGCCGAAGCAUAAGAAGGACCAGUAAAAGAUCAGUCAUAAAGACAUUUCUACCUUGAUCACCUAUACUUAUUAAAAUGAUAUGAGGAGCACAUAUGCGAUUUCUUUUCUAUCUUCCUGCAUUUUUCACCAUUGUACAGCAGGACUUGAAGACAACAAAAGGUUCUUUUCUUUCAUAGCUCUCUACUCUUUUCCUUCAAAGUAAUUAAAUUGUAAUUAUAAAUUUAU
This 2621-nucleotide long non-coding RNA is filed under the name Homo sapiens (human). RNAcentral's name for it is "HSALNT0040323". The record is from RNAcentral. Lineage: Eukaryota; Metazoa; Chordata; Mammalia; Primates; Hominidae.